GUCUGGCUCAAAGGUAGUGAGUUUUACCAACUGAUUGUCCACAGUCAGUCACAGACCAAAUUCCUUGUUUUACUCUUUCACCCCUCCGCACUAAUGCACUUGACUAGUCAUUA
Aotus nancymaae (Ma's night monkey) is the source of this 113-nucleotide unclassified non-coding RNA. It matches the Rfam family "Y RNA". Rfam says of the family: Y RNAs are components of the Ro ribonucleoprotein particle (Ro RNP), in association with Ro60 and La proteins. The Y RNAs and Ro60 and La proteins are well conserved, but the function of the Ro RNP is not known. In humans the RNA component can be one of four small RNAs -- hY1, hY3, hY4 and hY5. NCBI's taxonomy places the organism in Eukaryota, Metazoa, Chordata, Mammalia, Primates, Aotidae. The record is from Ensembl.